RNAcentral lists this long non-coding RNA (7783 nucleotides) under Gossypium barbadense (sea-island cotton). RNAcentral describes it as "long non-coding RNA (GBAR_LNC019675)". The record is from RNAcentral. Lineage: Eukaryota; Viridiplantae; Streptophyta; Magnoliopsida; Malvales; Malvaceae.
GUAAUUCUAGCAUCUGAUCUCUCAUUUCCUGUUGAAAUUCAGUCAAUUGCUCCUGUAUCUGAAUCUGCAUUCGCUCUAAUUUUUCCAACCUUCGUUCCAUUUUUCUAACCUUUGUUUGGAUACCGUAAAGGUGUUGGGUUGGUUGGUUUUCCAGGUUAGCUGAAAUAAAUUUAUUCAAUUAGACUCUUUUAACGAAUUUUAAUGCAUGUAAUGUAAAUGCAUGAAAUGAAUGCCUAAAGAGACGUUGAAUCUGAUUCAAUUACAUUUAUAAAACUUUUCUAGAAAGCAAAUUCCUUUACAUAAAGCAAAGGCAUGUACGGCUUCGCCCUUAUGUUCCAAGAGACAAUAUCGAUCUUUUUCUUCAUCCGCACGUUUGAGGUAAUCUCGCCAAUAGGUGUCAUUGCUAGCUCCUUUUCUUGAUCUUGGUCGCGAUCCAUCAUCUACCCGUCUUCAUAAGGCUCGUCAGCUUCUAAAAGGGGAUUGGAACAUCGAAGGCUCUUAGACAAUCACAUAGAAUCCCCAGGCCACGAAGCAAGGUCACGAACUCUUCGAUCGCCCUUCUUGUGUUUCUCAGAAUAUAUUCAGGAAGUCGUAUUAUUUUCCACUUUAUCAAGGAAUUCGUAUUCCAUGACAAGCUUUCUAAUUUAGUAAUCGGACUUAAAUCAAUAUCUCUUUCCUAAGAUGCAAAUGCAAUGCGAUCAAAACACAACAAGAGGGGUUAAUACAAAAUAUAAACAAGCAAGGAAACAAAACUACCUAGUCAAGUAACCACUAGGGAUUUGGAGUGGCUCUACCUAGGGUGGGCUCCUAAGGUUCACUACAUGUGGUAUGGCUCUACAGGUAAGGUACCUAGUUGAUUACUUAAUGUCUUAAAUGUCGAAAAUUGAGAACUUUGAAGAAUCUUAAAAAAAAUACGAUCAUUGUAUUAAAACAUUGAAAAUUUUCAAGAAAAUGGGCAUAAUUCGCGUUAAUCGAGAAAAGGCAUCAUACCUAGUAAGUUAGGACACAAUGUCUCGAAUUUCCAAUACGCGAAUGAGUGCCGGAAAUUUAAAAGAUAUUUAACUAUCUCGAAUUUAAAAAAGGAUCAUGUCCAGUAAGUUAGAACACGAUCUUUUUUCAUUUUCGAGAUCAUUUGAAACUUGAAUUUGAAAAGAUUCGCGUAUUUAGAUUUAUUGUGAAGAUCGAAACCCAGUAAGUUAGGGUACGAUCCUCUCGAAUCUAAACACGAAAUAUUGUUUAUUCAAAAGUCAUAAUUCAUUUAUUGAAUGAAAUAAUUUAACACGAAAUAGUAGAAAUAAGAUACGAUGUUAAUAUGCGUAACUAAAUAAAUAUGAAUACGAUGAUGUGAAUCGUAAAUAAUAGGAACAAUCACAACAAAAUGGUAAAUAAAUAAAAGAUGACAAAACGAUUAUACAUGAAAUAAUAAAUAACUAGGGCUAAAACAUUUCAUAGAAAUAAUGAUGAGAAUAAAUCAAAUAAGACAAUAAUAACUCCAAUGAAUAUAAAUAAAAUUGUAAAAUGAGAAUAAAAUAAAGACAAAGACAAAACAAAACAUCUAUGCACAUACGUAUAAUAAAGUUCGGAAAUAAAAAAUGUAAAUAAGCAAGUAAUAAUAAAAAUAUAUAACAAAACAAGUGAGUAUAUAUAUAUCCUAAAAAUAAAUGCAUGUAAACAUACAAAAAUCAAAAGGUAUAUGGGGAUGCGUAUACAUAUGGAAAAUCAAAUAUGAAACUAUACAACUACGUAUAUAGAUUAAAGUAGAUAAAAAAAGUAUUUAUAUAUUAAAUAAAUUAUAAAGAAAAAGGUAUACGUGUAUGUAUAUUUAAGCUAUUAUAUAAUAAUAUGAUAAGUAGCAAUAAUAUAAGUAAUAAUAAUAAUAAUAGUAAAAAUAAAUAAUAAAAGAUGAUAAUACAUUAAAAUAAUGAAGAAAAUAAUAAAAAUGCUAAAAAGAGGACUAAAUCGAAAUAAAAGCAAACAAUACGGGGCGAAAUUGAAAUAAAAAACGGAGGGAUUGAUUUGAAUGUGCGAAUAACAUAGAGGGCCUGGAAGGGAAAAUUUCCCUUCUCCUCUAAAACGCACAGCUUCAUUGAGGACCAAAUCGAGAGAAAAAUGAAAUUUUGUGGAAAAAUUAAAAAAUAAAAACAAAAUAGGACCCAAUCGUAAACAGACUCAAAAGUGGAAGGAUCAGGAGCGCAAAUAACCCCUUUUAUCCAAAAACACGCGGAUCCUUGGCGGUUCGGGUCGGGUCGGUCCGAUCCAUGUUAAAACGACGUCGUUUUGGGGCUUAAGGACGCCUGCCAAAACGGCGUCGUUUUAAAGGCCUAUAAAAGGCAAAUUUCUUUUCAAAAAAAUCAUUCAUUCCUUCUCACAAAAAAAACUGAUAUGCUCUCCCUCUCCCUUUCUCCGUUCCUCUCUCCGGCCAAGGGUCCAGCUAAACGCCGCCGCGCCGGUCGCCGAUCGCCGGCGCCGGCGCCACCGUCGGUGGCGGUCAGAAAAUAAAAAAAGCCUCUUUAACCAUUCUCAACCCCUUGACUCCAAAUCUGGGGUUGUCUUUUAGAAAAAACGACCAAAAAUGACCGAAUAGAGGAGGGGCCCUUCGAAUCCCGGCAACGAAGAACGAAACAGGUAGCUUUUUCUUCUCUUUCUUUAUUUUUAUUUAUUUCGAAUGUGUAGGAGAAAAAACAAAAAAAAAACAACCGAAAAAAAGAAACAAUCGUAAAAAAGGAGUCACCUUUUCAAACUGUUUUUUAAUAUUUCUUCAAUGUUUUUUUUUCAAAUCGGAAUCCCCUUUACAAUCUGUAUAUAAUCGGUUUUAUAUACCGAAAAUCAAAAACAAAAGCCCCCCUUUUCAAUACGUUUCAUUCGGCUCUUAUAGCCGAUUUCAAUACUAUUUUCUACUGUCUUGCUUCUAUGUCUGUCUCCUUUUUGUCCUGUUUGCAGGUUUUGGCAAAGUCAACAAGCAUUGGAGGGAUAACCUUGGCCAUUUUGGUGCAAGGCUGACAAGCGGUGGCAGAGGAGGCGUAUGGCAGCACAUGGGAGCUGCGCAUGAGUAUUAGGGUUAGGUUAGGGUUUCAAUUUUACUGAAACUGAUUUUAAGUUGUGGGCCACUUGGGCCACUAGGUUUUUUUUCUUAUUUUUGGGCUUGUAAUUCAUUUUUAGACUGUUUAAUUAUUUUGGAGAUUGGGUUGCUUUUGGUUUGGGCCCGGGCAAAAUAUGGGCUUUACACCCGUUAUAUGGCUUGAGAGAGAGCUUUCUGUUUAUGUACUCGUAAAAGCAUUUUCGAAUAUGAAUUGGCGGAUUUACAGUGGUGUACAUUUCAUGUGUACUACCCAUGUAUCCAUCGGGAUUUCAAAUAAUUCAAUGGGUGAAAUUCUGACAUGAGAACAUAUGAAAUUAAAAUGAAUCAUUAUCUGUAUAAACAUGAAUUACAUGGAAUUUGAUAUUUAAUGAGCUCAUCCUUGCUAUUGGUAUUUACAUGAAAUAAAUAACUAACUUGUUUGAUGAGAUUAUAUGCUUAGGCUUUUGGACAAGUUGUUUGGAAUGUGUUUAUAUGCUUACUUUAAAUGUAAAUGUAUGGUAAGUUAAUUUCCUGUUAUACGAACUUACUAAGUAUUAAAUGCUUACUCUGUUUUAUUUUCUUCUGUCUUAUAGUACUUGGAAGCUCAUUGGGUUGGAAGCUUGGCGGAGAUCACUCACACUGUCCACUGGCCUAGUUUGGUACAAAUAUGAAACUAAUUUUUUUGUUAUAAUAGCAUGUAUAGGUUAACUUAACCAAUGUUGUUAUAUAAAUGUUUUGGUUAUAACUAGCUAUUGGUAUAGCUUGUGUUUGGUAUAUAUAUUGAAAUGUAUAUAUAUGUAGUAUUAACAUGUUUGAUGUGUGAGUUUGAAAUGGUUAAAUGAUGAUAAUCAUAUGGAUGAAUGGAUUGAGAUAGCAUAUUUGAUAAAAUAUGCCUAUAUAUGAAUUUGGUCGAUUAAGUAAGUUUGAAUACAUGAACACAUGUGAUGAUAUGUCAUGCAUAAAACUUGGUUUGGCUUGGUUUAAAUGUCUUGAAUUAGUUGGUGAAUGUGUUUAAGUGUUGGUGUAGGUGGAAGGUGAAAUUGGGUGAGACAUAAGGCUUGGAAAUGGCCUUAUUUUGUCCAUACGGGCAGAGACACGGGCGUGUGUCUCAGGCGUGUGUACUGGUCGUGUGUCCCUUGCAUCUUAAAAAUUUCAAAAUAGAAUGCUCAGAAUUGAACACACGGCCUGGCACACGGGCGUGUGGCUUGGCCGUGUGACCCUUGCACCUAAUUAAUGAAAAUUAUAAUUUUCACAUGGCCUAGCACACAGACGUGUAACUUGGCCAUGUGAUCCAAGUUAGAGAGUUACACGGGCUGGAAGACUAUCGUGUGCCCUACUUCAAACGUCACAUGGCCUAAGGCACGGACGUUUGUGUCCUGCAUCUUGGAUAAAUUUUGAAAUUUUGUGAAAAAUUCUUUGAGUUCCUGAUUUAGUCCCGACUUGUUUCUAAUGUAUGUUUUAGGCCUCGAGGGCUCAUUUAAGGGACAAUAUGAUUAAUUUAUGAUUGGUUUCGGAUAUAUGAAUGUGAAGUGAUAUGAAAUAUUUGUAUUUGAUCUGUAAAUUUCCAGUAAUGCUCUAUAACUCUGUUUUGGCGAUGAAUAUGAGUUAGGGUGUUACAUUUAUUGGUAUCAGAGCUACGAUUUAGCCGAUUCUCGGACUAACGUAGCGUAUACGAGUCUAGCUAUACAUGACAUUAUAUAACCUGCGAUAGUGUAAUAUCUCCUGACCAUUUUUAAACAUGUUUUUUUUAUAUAGUAAUGUCAUCCAACCGAGCUGAAUCUGAAGAAGCUGAAAGCAAUACUCAAGCUUCAGUUUAAAUAACAACCUCGAGUAGUAGAAGGCUCGUAUCUAAGGGCCGAGGAGGAGAGGCUAAAGAAGCCUUCUUCCAAAUGAUGAAUGAAUGGUUUACAAAAUUUGUAAGAACAAAUCUGGCUGUACAACAACUUCCCCCUCCUGCUUUUCAACCGGUUCCUGACAUGCCACAAGGUACAAAACUUGUCUGAACUGAUACGCCUCCUGUUAAUAAAAUCCAUAAAUAUGUGACAGAAAAUUUAGAGCAACGACUGAAGAUGAUCCUGAAAGGGCUAAAUUUUGGUUAGAAAACACUAUCAGGGUUUUUGAUGGAUUAUCUUGCACACCGGCCGAAUGUCUGAAAUGUGCUGUAUCUCUGUUAAAAGAUUUGGCUUACCAAUGGUGGAAUACAUUGAUUUCUGUUGUACCAAAAGAAAAGGUUACAUGGGAGUUAUAUAAUAUUUGUGCUAAAAAUGAAUUUUUUUUAUAAUUGAGUGACUAUCUGUGUAGUUUAACCAAUUUGUACACACCAGUUCCGGUAGAAAAACAUGUGCCACCGGUGCGGUACUAACUACCUUAACUGGAAUUAGGGCGUACCAGUACUAAUCCAUUUCAGUGUACCAUUUCGAAUUUAUCUAUAUUUUGGAAAAUAUUAAAUAUAUGUAUAUAAAAAUAUUUACAAACAUCAAAAUUUGUACACACCAUUUCAGUGCACAAUGUUUUGGUAAAAGCUUUUUUUAUUUAUUACCAUAAUUGUAAAAAGUUAAAAAUUUUAAUAUUAUUCAUGCACUAGCAAGUGCAUAAUGUUCCUGUUGAUAUGAUCGGAAUUGGGCAGAACAGACCGAUGUGACAAGUACAGGUUGAAAUUUUAAUUGACGCAGAAAAAUGAGUUAGCUGCAUCAAUUUAUUAUUGGAAUGGUAUGCAUCGGCUGAGACAAUCGAAAUCGGUGCGAAAUUGUCUACAUUGAGUAUGCUACCUAUCACAAAAUAAAAUAAUUAUAUUUAAUUUUAAUGAUUUUUAAAAUUAUUCAUUAACUUAUUGUGUUUUAAUAUGGUUCAUUGAUGAUGUACGGACUUAUUCAUAUAUGCUGACAGUGCCCUAAAUGCACAUCCUAAUUAAAAAAAGUUCAUUAGCUGUACUAUUGAUUGGACUUUAAUUUUUAAAUCAGAUAAGUGCAAUGAUUAAAUUCUUAGAAUUAAAAGUAUUGGGAUUAAUUUUCAAAAGUUGGAAGAAUAUAAGGAUUCAACAUAAAUUAAACAAAAAAUUGAGGGCAAUAUGGUAAACCCCGAUGAUUAUUUUCUUUCUAGAAAAGGAAAACCGAAGUCAAUGCUUGAACUGCACAAUAGGAGCAUUUUUCACUUUGGACGCAUUUUAUUUUAUUUCAAAAAAGAACUCGUAAAGUAGGAGAAUAAAAUUAAAAGGUACAAUGGCUACUGUGAUUUCUUCUAGUGCUACAACCGGUGAGGCUGAGGACGGUGGUUAGCUGGAAGAUUGCUCUACUAAAAAAGUGUGAAACAAGGAUCAACGGACAGAGUUGAACAUGUCGAUUACGAAGAAUUUGACUCAAACGCCAAUAUUGACCUAGAAAGACAAAUUAGUAGGAGGUUCAUCGGUAUCGAAAAGGUCGAAUAAGACUCAAGAGAUGGAGUUGGGUCAUGAUUUGGAGUUUGUAGAAGGGGAUACUAAGAAAUCGACCAUUAACAGAAUCCCAUCUAUUGAUUUCUCAGAGAGGGUGAACUAGUUGCUUAUUAAGGACACGACCUAGACAUUCAUUGUCAAGCUCUUAGGCCGAAAUAUUGGUGUAAAAUCUUUUCCAACUCUUCCCUAACCUUUAAUUCAAACUGACUUAAGGUGUUGGACCCUGAUUUAUCCAUUCCAUUUUGAAUCUCCGCAAGUUUCUUCAUCAAAAGACUAUAGCGGGUGCCAAUAUUGUCGUAGAUAGAUUUAUUGCACCCCUUAAUAUUCAAAGUAAAGUGUUGGAUAGCCUCUGUCAUAUUACCCUUGAAAACCCAAUUUUCCUUGACAAAAUUUGAAAAGUUAGGAUGUUCAACCUAACCAGCCAGGAAACUGAAAGGGCGUCCCCCAAAUAAGUUGACCUUUAAAUUGAGAGAAAGCAGUGAUAUGUGAUCAGAUUUGAGCCUAGGAAGAUGGGAGAUUGAGCAACUAAGAAAAACUCUAAUCCAAGUUUCUUUUCCGAUCGCUCUAUCUAGCCUCUCAAAUAUUCUUCCUCGAUACCAAGUGAAAUGUGGUCCUUUAAAACCUAAAUCCUGCAAAUUAUUCACAUCGAGAAAGUCUCCAAAAGGAGAACAUCCAAUUCCAUCUCUUUUAACUCCUAUUUUAUCUCUAGAUGAAAGUAAAGCAUUAAAAUCACCGAUAGCAGCCCAAGGAACCCCUUUAGGCGGUAUAACCGUAUUAAAACCCUCCCAAUGUUGUCUCGUUUUUUGUCUGUCAAUACUCUCAUAAACAAAAACAACAGUAACAACCUGGGUUUGACCCCUCUUUAAAAUCCAAACAACAAUAAAUUAGGGGUGGUUACAAAUUACCUCAAUUGAAAUAUUAUCUUUCUAGCCAAGCCAGAUACCUCCUGAAAAACCAAUAGCCUUACUCUAUGCGAAUUCUAAAAACCCAAACUGGAAAUGAUCUUAUCUGCUUUGUAACCACUUACUUUUGCCUAUAUUCUUGAAAAAUACAGGGAAAAUUUUUAUUUGACAUCCAUGGCAAUUCCAAGAAAACACAGAUAAAUCUAUAAAAAAUAAUUAAAAGAAAUAAAAAACCAAUCUUACUGUUUGGGAGCCAAGGCAUCCUUCUCAUGCUUUUUAUUAGCUGCUGAAGAGUCUUUGUCAACCUCUUUGUUAAAUUGAGCACUAAUUAGCUCAAUCAUAAAGCUCAUCGAGUCUGUCAAGGAUACCCGAGCGAUUCCAGUUUGCUUAAAA